UACGGGGGGGGCAAGCGUUGUUCGGAAUUACUGGGCGUAAAGGGCGCGUAGGCGGCCUGCUAAGUCGGACGUGAAAUCCCUCGGCUCAACCGGGGAACUGCGUCCGAUACUGGUGGGCUCGAAUCCGGGAGAGGGAUGUGGAAUUCCAGGUGUAGCGGUGAAAUGCGUAGAUAUCUGGAGGAACACCGGUGGCGAAGGCGGCAUCCUGGACCGGCAUUGACGCUGAGGCGCGAAAGCCAGGGGAGCAAACAGG
This 253-nucleotide ribosomal RNA is filed under the name uncultured bacterium. Its description in RNAcentral is "partial 16S ribosomal RNA". It matches the Rfam family "Bacterial small subunit ribosomal RNA", at positions 524 to 776 of the family's 1533-position model. The record is from RNAcentral.